Macrobrachium nipponense is the source of this 160-nucleotide long non-coding RNA. RefSeq lists it as uncharacterized. NCBI's taxonomy places the organism in Eukaryota, Metazoa, Arthropoda, Malacostraca, Decapoda, Palaemonidae. The transcript has 3 exons. The record is from RefSeq and is a predicted model, not a curated record.
UAUAGUAUACUGAAUAUCUCUUCUUGCUGUCAAUUCUCACAAAACCGCAGACUGGGUUCCGCAUAGCUUUCAAUAUGUUCGACACUGAUGGAAACCAAAGGGUUGAUAAAGAAGAGUUUCUUGUGUUGGAGAAGAUCUUCAGCACUGCAAGGCGUGACCC